CUAGCGACUUCAGAGUUUGAUCCUGGCUCAGGAUGAACGCUGGCGGCGUGCAUAACACAUUCAAGUCGAACGGAGUUUAGAUAAUUAAUCCUUCGGGAAGCGUUGUUUAAGCUUAGUGGCGGACGGGUGAGUAACGCGUGAGCAACCUGCCCCUUUGUGUGGAAUAACGUUUGGAAACGAACGCUAAUACCGCAUAACGCACGGAUAUCGCAUGGUAACCGUGCCAAAGAUUUAUUGCAGAGGGAUGGGCUCGCGUCUGAUUAGAUAGUUGGUGAGGUAACGGCUCACCAAGUCGACGACCAGUAGCCGGACUGAGAGGUUGAACGGCCACAUUGGAACUGAGAAACGGUCCAG
Molecule: ribosomal RNA, 354 nt
Filed under: uncultured bacterium
Lineage: Bacteria
Description: bacterial SSU rRNA
Rfam family: Bacterial small subunit ribosomal RNA
Source: RNAcentral